UACGUAGGGGGCAAGCGUUGUCCGGAAUCAUUGGGCGUAAAGAGCGUGUAGGCGGCCCGAUAAGUCCGCUGUGAAAGUCCAGGGCUCAACCCUGGGAUGCCGGUGGAUACUGUCGGGCUCGAGUCCGGAAGAGGAGUGUGGAAUUCCUGGUGUAGCGGUGAAAUGCGCAGAUAUCAGGAGGAACACCGGUGGCGAAGGCGGCUUGCUGGGCCUUACCUGACGCUGAGGAGCGAAAGCGUGGGGAGCGAGCAGG
This 253-nucleotide ribosomal RNA is filed under the name uncultured bacterium. Its description in RNAcentral is "partial 16S ribosomal RNA". It matches the Rfam family "Bacterial small subunit ribosomal RNA", at positions 524 to 776 of the family's 1533-position model. The record is from RNAcentral.